UUGGUUAAGUUAGAAAGGGCGCACGGUGGAUGCCUUGGCACUAGGAGCCGAAGAAGGACGGGACUAACACCGAUAUGCUUUGGGGAGCUGUACGUAAGCGUUGAUCCAGAGAUUUCCGAAUGGGGGAACCCACUAUCUUUAGUCGGAUAGUAUCCUUACGUGAAUACAUAGCGUGAGGAAGGCAGACCCAGGGAACUGAAACAUCUAAGUACCUGGAGGAAGAGAAAGAAAAAUCGAUUUCCUGAGUAGCGGCGAGCGAAACGGAAAGAGCCCAAACCAAGAAGCUUGCUUCUUGGGGUUGUAGGACACUCUAUACGGAGUUACAAAAGAAAGUUAUAAAUGAAGCGGUCUGGAAAGGCCCGCCAAAGACGGUAACAGCCCGGUAGUUGAAAUAGCUUUCCCUCCAGAGUGGAUCCUGAGUACGGCGGAACACGUGAAAUUCCGUCGGAAUCCGGGAGGACCAUCUCCCAAGGCUAAAUACUCCCUAGUGACCGAUAGUGAACCAGUACCGUGAGGGAAAGGUGAAAAGCACCCCGGAAGGGGAGUGAAACAGUUCCUGAAACCGUGUGCCUACAAGUAGUUAGAGCCCGUUAAUGGGUGAUAGCGUGCCUUUUGUAGAAUGAACCGGCGAGUUACGAUUUGUUGCAAGGUUAAGCGGAAAAAGCGGAGCCGUAGCGAAAGCGAGUCUGAAUAGGGCGCAUAAGUAACAGGUCGUAGACCCGAAACCAGGUGAUCUACCCAUGUCCAGGAUGAAGGUAAGGUAAUACUUACUGGAGGUCCGAACCCACGCACGUUGAAAAGUGCGGGGAUGAGGUGUGGGUAGCGGAGAAAUUCCAAUCGAACUUGGAGAUAGCUGGUUCUCUCCGAAAUAGCUUUAGGGCUAGCCUCGAGGUAAAGAGUCAUGGAGGUAGAGCACUGUUUGGACUAGGGGCCCUUCUCGGGUUACCGAAUUCAGAUAAACUCCGAAUGCCAUGUACUUAUACUCGGGAGUCAGACUGCGAGUGAUAAGAUCCGUAGUCGAAAGGGAAACAGCCCAGACCACCAGUUAAGGUCCCCAAAUAUAUGUUAAGUGGAAAAGGAUGUGGGGUUGCUUAGACAACCAGGAUGUUGGCUUAGAAGCAGCCACCAUUGAAAGAGUGCGUAAUAGCUCACUGGUCGAGUGACCCCGCGCCGAAAAUGUACCGGGGCUAAACAUAUUACCGAAACUGUGGAUGAACCUCUUUAGAGGUUCGUGGUAGGAGAGCGUUCUAAGGGCGGUGAAGUCAGACCGGAAGGACUGGUGGAGCGCUUAGAAGUGAGAAUGCCGGUAUGAGUAGCGAAAGAAGGGUGAGAAUCCCUUCCACCGAAUAUCUAAGGUUUCCUGAGGAAGGCUCGUCCGCUCAGGGUUAGUCGGGACCUAAGCCGAGGCCGAUAGGCGUAGGCGAUGGACAACAGGUAGAGAUUCCUGUACCAGUGCUAAUUGUUUAACCGAUGGGGUGACACAGAAGGAUAGGGAAUCGCACGAAUGGAAAUGUGCGUCCAAGCAGUGAGUGUGAGAAGUAGGCAAAUCCGCUUCUCGCGAAGCAUGAGCUGUGAUGGGGAAGGAAAUUAAGUACGGAAGUUCCUGAUUUCACGCUGUCAAGAAAAGCCUCUAGGAAGAGUAGUACUGCCCGUACCGCAAACCGACACAGGUAGAUGAGGAGAGAAUCCUAAGGUGAGCGAGAGAACUCUCGUUAAGGAACUCGGCAAAAUGACCCCGUAACUUCGGGAGAAGGGGUGCUCUAUUAGGGUGCAAGCCCGAGAGAGCCGCAGUGAAUAGGCCCAGGCGACUGUUUAGCAAAAACACAGGUCUCUGCAAAACCGUAAGGUGACGUAUAGGGGCUGACGCCUGCCCGGUGCUGGAAGGUUAAGAGGAGUGCUUAGCUUCGGCGAAGGUACGAAUUGAAGCCCCAGUAAACGGCGGCCGUAACUAUAACGGUCCUAAGGUAGCGAAAUUCCUUGUCGGGUAAGUUCCGACCCGCACGAAAGGCGCAACGAUCUGGGCACUGUCUCAACGAGAGACUCGGUGAAAUUAUAGUACCUGUGAAGAUGCAGGUUACCCGCGACAGGACGGAAAGACCCCGUGGAGCUUUACUGCAACCUGAUAUGGAAUGUUUGUACCGCUUGUACAGGAUAGGUAGGAGCCGAAGAGACGUGUGCGCUAGCAUACGAGGAGGCAAUGGUGGGAUACU
This 2210-nucleotide ribosomal RNA is filed under the name Listeria monocytogenes. Its description in RNAcentral is "bacterial LSU rRNA". It matches the Rfam family "Bacterial large subunit ribosomal RNA", at positions 1 to 2201 of the family's 2925-position model. The record is from RNAcentral. Lineage: Bacteria; Bacillati; Bacillota; Bacilli; Caryophanales; Listeriaceae.